RNAcentral lists this ribosomal RNA (250 nucleotides) under uncultured bacterium. Its description in RNAcentral is "partial 16S ribosomal RNA". It matches the Rfam family "Bacterial small subunit ribosomal RNA", at positions 524 to 773 of the family's 1533-position model. The record is from RNAcentral.
UACGUAGGGGGCAAGCGUUGUCCGGAAUUAUUGGGCGUAAAGCGCGCGCAGGCGGUUUAUUAAGUCUGAUGUGAAAGCCCACGGCUCAACCGUGGAGGGCCAUUGGAAACUGGUAGACUUGAGUGCAGAAGAGGAGAGCGGAAUUCCUGGUGUAGCGGUGAAAUGCGUAGAUAUCAGGAGGAACACCCGUGGCGAAGGCGGCUCUCUGGUCUGUAACUGACGCUGAGGCGCGAAAGCGUGGGGAGCAAAC